Alosa alosa (allis shad) is the source of this 298-nucleotide long non-coding RNA. RefSeq lists it as uncharacterized. The transcript is spliced from 3 exons. The record is from RefSeq and is a predicted model, not a curated record. Lineage: Eukaryota; Metazoa; Chordata; Actinopteri; Clupeiformes; Clupeidae.
GCUGUGAGGCAGCUCCACCAAUGCUUGGAGGGGCGAGCUAAUUGUGUCAAAGUUCUCCGUAUGUGAUCAAGCACUUCGCUGGCUAUUGUGGCCGCCAGCGAGGGGGAAGUGUAAAUGUCCAAGAGCUUGUGCUAACUUUCACCGCAACAGAUCCAGACUGCUACAUGGUGUUGCUAAGCUGCUGUUCUCUACACUGUAUGUUUGUAUGACUGGUAUGGUUCUUAGACUGUGCAUAUUUUACAUGUGUGUUUUGUUUGCCCCUUCUAGCCUGUGGCUAGGUGUAUGUAAGAGCGUAUAG